UACGGGGGGGGCAAGCGUUGUUCGGAAUUACUGGGCGUAAAGGGCUCGUAGGCGGCCAACUAAGUCGGAUGUGAAAUCCCCAGGCUCAACUUGGGAACUGCAUCCGAUACUGGAUGGCUUGAAUUCGGGAGAGGGAUGCAGAAUUCCAGGUGUAGCGGUGAAAUGCGUAGAUAUCUGGAGGAAUACCAGUGGCGAAGGCGGCUUCCUGGACACUAACUGACGCUGAGACGCGAAAGCGUGGGGAGCAAACAGG
Molecule: ribosomal RNA, 253 nt
Filed under: uncultured bacterium
Lineage: Bacteria
Description: partial 16S ribosomal RNA
Rfam family: Bacterial small subunit ribosomal RNA
Source: RNAcentral